This is an RNA transcript of Carica papaya (papaya), 1635 nucleotides long. It is a transcript of the gene named PHD finger protein ALFIN-LIKE 4-like, with no coding region annotated. NCBI's taxonomy places the organism in Eukaryota, Viridiplantae, Streptophyta, Magnoliopsida, Brassicales, Caricaceae. The record is from RefSeq and is a predicted model, not a curated record.
UGACUCUCGCUCUUUUUCUCUGUGCAAUAAUAUUCCAAUCUGUGAAGUCAAGUAGCAGAGCAGUAGUAGGCUUUGUGUUAACCAUUACUUCUUCGUUUCUUGUUUUCCCUCCCCUGUACAAUUAUCUUUUCUGCUACUCGAACCUCUGCUUUUGGAUACAACCUUCCAAAAUUUCUAUCUCUCUCUUGCAAUCUUUUCUGUUUCGUUUCUUACUAAAUUUAUUUUUGAAGUUCCAACUGAGCUUUUGAGUGUGGUUGUCAUGGACGGAGGCGCACAGUACAACCCGCGAACAGUAGAGGAGGUUUUCAGGGAUUUCAAGGGCCGGAGAGCUGGCAUGAUAAAAGCCCUAACUACUGAUGUUGAAGAAUUUUAUCAGCAGUGCGACCCUGAGAAGGAAAAUCUUUGCUUGUAUGGAUACCCUAAUGAACAGUGGGAAGUUAAUUUACCUGCUGAAGAAGUGCCUCCGGAGCUCCCAGAGCCUGCUUUGGGUAUCAACUUUGCCAGAGAUGGGAUGCAGGAAAAGGACUGGUUGUCCUUAGUUGCUGUUCACAGUGAUGCUUGGUUGCUUGCAGUGGCUUUCUACUUUGGUGCUAGAUUUGGUUUUGAUAAAGCUGACCGAAAGCGACUCUUCAACAUGAUAAAUGAUCUCCCGACAAUAUUUGAAGUAGUUACCGGAAGUGCAAAGAAGCAGGCUAAGGAAAAAUCAUCAGUUUCAAAUCAUAGCAGUAACAAAUCCAAAUCAAGUUCAAAAGGGCGAGGUUCGGAAUCUGGAAAAUAUUCAAAGAAUUUGCAGUCUAAGGACGAGGAUGAGGGAUUGGACGAGGAGGAGGAGGAGGAGCAUGGGGAAACCUUGUGUGGGGCAUGUGGAGAGAACUAUGCAUCUGAUGAGUUUUGGAUUUGUUGUGACAUAUGCGAGAAGUGGUUUCAUGGCAAGUGCGUGAAGAUCACUCCUGCCAGGGCUGAGCACAUCAAGCAAUACAAAUGCCCGUCAUGCAGCAACAAGAGAGCUCGGCCUUGAGAGAAUUGAUGGGUGACUCAUCGCCUCUUGUAUUUUCCUGUAGCUCGAAUCUAACUAUUUAGUUGAAUGCUCUAAUUUAUUCAGUUCUCCGCCUGAUCAUCAAUUGUUGAAAUAUGGAGCAUGCUGCCAUGUGCUGGACGUUCCUGCUUGUGUUGUAAUUCUGAAAUGCGUCUGUGAAUUUCUGUUGUGAUUCUUUGGUUGAGUUUUAGGUCUUAUAUGUAUACCAUUUUCAAUUUGUAAUUUGUGAUGCAUGCUACUGGGGAAGUCGCACCCUUCAUCAACUUCCUCCAUUUUUGGUACUGCGUCUUGUGGAAAUUUCAUCAGUUGAGGUAACUGAAACCUGGAAGAUGGUAACUACCAAUUUCUGAAAACUGAGCAAGUAGAGAUGAGAUUGCUCCUUUUUGACAUGCCAUGAAUGUACUAUGAUUUGGAAAGAAAAAAGAAAAGAAAUUCCAAAGGAGCAAUAAGCUAGAUUAAAAUGGUGAGCUUCAAUGUAGAGAUAAGUAGCCCUGGCGCCAAAGUUUGAUCUGGAAGCUUAGGCAGGGCCACCAUGUGUUUGGAUUGCCAUAGUUAAAAAGGAUGGCUUAAUGUUGCAAGUUUAGCUUCUCGUUAAUUCC